Molecule: ribosomal RNA, 119 nt
Filed under: Pelobates cultripes (western spadefoot toad)
Lineage: Eukaryota; Metazoa; Chordata; Amphibia; Anura; Pelobatidae
Source: RNAcentral
ACCUAUGGCCAUACCAGUCUGAAAGUGCUUGAUCUCAUCAGAUCUCAGAAGCCAUCCAGACUCGGGCCUGGUUAGUACUUGUAUGGGAGACCAAAUAGGAACCUCAGGUGCUGUAAGCU